AACGCCAAGAACCUUACCUGGUCUUGACAUCCGCGGAAGUUUUCAGAGAUAAAAAUGUGCCUUCGGGAACCGUGAGACAGGUGCUGCAUGGCUGUCGUCAGCUCGUGUUGUGAAAUGUUGGGUUAAGUCCCGCAACGAGCGCAACCCUUAUCCUUUGUUGCCAGCGGUCCGGCCGGGAACUCAAAGGAGACUGCCAGUGAUAAACUGGAGGAAGGUGGGGAUGACGUCAAGUCAUCAAGGCCCUUACGACCAGGGCUACACACGUGCUACAAUGGCGCAUACAAAGAGAAGCGACCUCGCGAGAGCAAGCGGACCUCAUAAAGUGCGUCGUAGUCCGGAUUGGAGUCUGCAACUCGACUCCAUGAAGUCGGAAUCGCUAGUAAUCGUGGAUCAGAAUGCCACGGUGAAUACGUUCCCGGGCCUUGUACACACCG
This 434-nucleotide ribosomal RNA is filed under the name uncultured bacterium. Its description in RNAcentral is "bacterial SSU rRNA". It matches the Rfam family "Bacterial small subunit ribosomal RNA", at positions 958 to 1392 of the family's 1533-position model. The record is from RNAcentral.